ACGUAGGAGGCGAGCGUUAUCCGGAUUUACUGGGCGUAAAGCGUGUGUAGGCGGUUUGAUAAGUUGGAUGUGAAAGCUCCUGGCUUAACUGGGAGAGGUCGUUCAAAACUAUCAGACUUGAGAGUGGUAGAGGGAGGUGGAAUUCCGCAUGUAGUGGUGAAAUGCGUAGAUAUGCGGAGGAACACCAGUGGCGAAAGCGGCCUCCUGGCCCAUUUCUGACGCUCAGACACGAAAGCUAAGGUAGCAAACGG
This 251-nucleotide ribosomal RNA is filed under the name uncultured prokaryote. RNAcentral's name for it is "partial 16S ribosomal RNA". It matches the Rfam family "Bacterial small subunit ribosomal RNA", at positions 525 to 775 of the family's 1533-position model. The record is from RNAcentral.